UGGCAGUCUUGAGUGCAGUAGAGGUGGGCGGAAUUCGUGGUGUAGCGGUGAAAUGCUUAGAUAUCACGAAGAACUCCGAUUGCGAAGGCAGCUCACUGGAGUGUAACUGACGCUGAUGCUCGAAAGUGUGGGUAUCAAACAGGAUUAGAUACCCUGGUAGUCCACACAGUAAACGAUGAAUACUCGCUGUUUGCGAUAUACAGUAAGCGGCCAAGCGAAAGCAUUAAGUAUUCCACCUGGGGAGUACGCCGGCAACGGUGAAACUCAAAGGAAUUGACGGGGGCCCGCACAAGCGGAGGAACAUGUGGUUUAAUUCGAUGAUACGCGAGGAACCUUACCCGGGCUUAAAUUGCAAAUGAAUUAUGGGGAAACCCAUACGCCGCAAGGCAUUUGUGAAGGUGCUGCAUGGUUGUCGUCAGCUCGUGCCGUGAGGUGUCGGCUUAAGUGCCAUAACGAGCGCAACCCUUAUCUUCAGUUACUAACAGGUCAUGCUGAGGACUCUGGAGAGACUGCCGUCGUAAGAUGUGAGGAAGGUGGGGAUGACGUCAAAUCAGCACGGCCCUUACGUCCGGGGCUACACACGUGUUACAAUGGGGGGUACAGAAGGCCGCUACCUGGUGACAGGAUGCCAAUCCCAAAAACCUCUCUCAGUUCGGAUCGAAGUCUGCAACCCGACUUCGUGAAGCUGGAUU
RNAcentral lists this ribosomal RNA (692 nucleotides) under Bacteroides caccae. RNAcentral describes it as "bacterial SSU rRNA". It matches the Rfam family "Bacterial small subunit ribosomal RNA", at positions 634 to 1332 of the family's 1533-position model. Lineage: Bacteria; Pseudomonadati; Bacteroidota; Bacteroidia; Bacteroidales; Bacteroidaceae. The record is from RNAcentral.